GACGAACGCUGGCGGCGUGCUUAACACAUGCAAGUCGAACGGAAAGGCCCUGCUUUUGUGGGCUGCGCGAGUUGCGACCGGGUGAGUAACACUUGAGUUACCUGUCCUUGACUUUGGGAUGACUUCAGGAAACUUGGUCUAAUACCGGAUAGGAGCUCCUGCUGUUUGGUGGGGGUUGUAAAGUUUCGGCGGUUGGUGAUGGACUGGCGGCUUAUCAGCUUGUUGGUGGGGUAGUGGCUUACCAAGGCUUUGACGGGUAGCCGGCCUGGGAGGAUGACCGGCCACAUUGGGACUGAGAUACGGCACAGACUCGUACGGGAGGCAGCAGUGGGGAAUAUAACACAAUGGGCGGAAGGCAGAUGCAGCAACGCCGCGUGCGGGAUGACGGGCUGGGGGUUGGAAACCGCUUUCGCCUGUGACGAAGCGUGAGUGACGGUAAUGGGUAAAGAAGCACCGGCUAACUACGUG
This 468-nucleotide ribosomal RNA is filed under the name uncultured bacterium. Its description in RNAcentral is "partial 16S ribosomal RNA". It matches the Rfam family "Bacterial small subunit ribosomal RNA", at positions 28 to 507 of the family's 1533-position model. The record is from RNAcentral.